AGUCAACCUACCCUAUGGACGGGAAUAAUCUCGGGAAACUGAGGAUAAUGCCCGAUAGAACACUAUGCCUGGAACGGUUUGUGUUCCAAAUGAUUUAUCGCCGUAGGAUGGGACUGCGGCCUAUCAGUUUGUUGGUGAGGUAAUGGCCCACCAAGACUAUUACAGGUACGGGCUCUGAGAGGAGUAGCCCGGAGAUGGGUACUGAGACACGGACCCAGGCCCUAUGGGGCGCAGCAGGCGAGAAAACUUUGCAAUGUGCGAAAGCACGACAAGGUUAAUCCGAGUGGUUCCUGCUAAAGGAACCUUUUGACGGUCCUAAAAACACCGUUGAAUAAGGGGUGGGCAAGUUCUGGUGUCAGCCGCCGCGGUAAAACCAGCACCUCAAGUGGUCAGGAUGAUUAUUGGGCCUAAAGCAUCCGUAGCCGGCUCUGUUAGUUUUCAGUUAAAUCUGUACGCUCAACGUACAGGCUGCCGGGAAUACUGCAGAGCUAGGGAGUGGGAGAGGUAGACGGUACUUGGUAGGAAGGGGUAAAAUCCUUUGAUCUAUUGAUGACCACCUGUGGCGAAGGCGGUCUACCAGAACACGUCCGACGGUGAGGGAUGAAAGCUGGGGGAGCAAACCGGAUUAGAUACCCGGGUAGUCCCAGCUGUAAACCAUGCAAACUCAAUGAUGCACUGGCUUGAAGCCAGUGCAGUGUU
RNAcentral lists this ribosomal RNA (699 nucleotides) under uncultured marine archaeon. RNAcentral describes it as "bacterial SSU rRNA". It matches the Rfam family "Archaeal small subunit ribosomal RNA", at positions 102 to 802 of the family's 1478-position model. The record is from RNAcentral.